CGGACAAUUCAAAACUUAUUGAGGUCUAAACCAAGUAACCUAAAAGUAUGAAUGUGUGAUCCUAAAAGUUGAAUGAUUAAUUGCUUUUAGCAUUUGAUGAGGACAAUCAAAAAAUAAGUUACAAUCAGAUAAUACGGAUUUCGGGCGGUACUUCAAUUCGGGUCCAUAAUUUCUCUGUGGUGGGGUUGGUUUUACCUUUCAUUUUAUAUGGAUUUUGUCUUCUUUUGUUGAUUGCAGUUUUAUUUUGUUGCUGGUGGUGUCUGAUUGUGGUGAUAUUGUUCUGUGCGGUGCUGAUGCUGUAUUUAAUGGUUAUGUGCAUUCAUUUUUCUUUCCCAAUCAAAUUCGUUUCCAGAACUUUGUUUUGGCAGUGAGUUUUGCUAUUGCAAUGGAGAUAUGUUGGCUGACAUUGUUCAUGGGAUGGACUCCAGGAGAAUUAAAAAUAGGCAUCUACCACAUCAAUUCUUGGUAAAUUUCUAUCUUCCCUAUGUUUCUUUUUUUUCUUUUUGGUCAGGUAGCCUAGUGGCUGGAGCUCACACAUUUUAAAUGUGGAGAAGUGGGGUUUCCGGGAUUCGAACCCCGGCCCCUGCAUAUAAAAUGCAUUUGUCCCUACCAACUGAGCAAAGCUUACGGGGACACCUAUGUUUCUUUUUUAUAAUCAGCUUUUGUGUGAUGAUACUAUCAACAUAUACUUUUUUCUCAUUAAUUUCAUCAAGUUUAUAUUGGAGAGACACCAAAUGUCUAUAUAAUAGAGCCACUUUGCAGUGCUUGAACGUGAAUUUUUUUACUCUUACAUAUCUUAAAGACAUUAACAGUUUUCAAAAUAAUUUGUGAUGAAGGCAUGUUUCAUUUUAAAAGAAGAGCUCAACAAGUAAAGGUUAGAUCAAUAUUUCUUAUGCACUAAUUUUGACAGAUCAUGUGUUCCCUGCACAUACUCAACGAGUCUAUUUGAGGCAUCAAUGGCUAUGUGUAUGAUUUUAGCAUUAUAUAUCAAUCAAUAUCAAUACUCUUAACAAGCUGCGGAAAAAAUACACUCUUUAGAUUUGCAAGCCUUUUAUAUUAGAAUUAUGUGAUUACUACAGACCUUUAAGUACUUAGACUUACGACACCACCCUAUCUAUCACUGAGAAGGAAAUAACAGAGAAAGUGACAGAGUUGUGGCAAGGAAAGAAUUUGGUUCAUUUUCAUCACUGUGGUUGAUUGGUUGUUGUUCUACGAUUUGAUUUCUUGCUCUUAUUGUUCAUCUAAUUUUUUUUUUUCUUUUCUAAAAUUGAUAGGUUUCCCUUCUAACUUCUUUCAUUUGCAGUCUUGGUUGAAUCAUCUAUUCAUGCUUUUUUGAAUGCUUUAUGAUAUGGGCAUGGACUCAUUAUGAGGUCCAUCUCUAUCCCUCGGACUAUAUCUUUCUAGAACAUAUAUUUUGUAACCGGUCAUUGGAUAUGGAGAACAUUUUUGUUGUGGGAUUUGACAUGGACUAUAUCUUUUCUAAUGUAUGUGGGAUUGGUUUGGUAUUUGGUGUGUGGUUUUUCAUCUAUUAAGAAACUUUUAGUUCAUGCAAAAUUGCUAUUGUUUUGUGAUUAUCUACUUUAGACAAGCUCACGUUAGAGAGUAGUACUGCCAAGCAUAUAGAUCCUGAAAUGGUGUGGAAACUGUAUGUGGGCUAUGGUAGUCUGGCUCAAAACUAUUACACACAAUAGGGAAUUAAGCUGCAUGACUCAAACUUAUAUGCUGUCAUUUAGUGGCAGGGAACAUAUUAUCAUCUAUAUUCAAUUCAGGUGCCUAGAAACUAUAGUGCUAGGUGACAGGUUUCAUCAACAUUGAUAUAUUUUCUUGGUUCCAAUUUCUAAUAUUCAUACUCCUCUUACAUCUUUUAUUUCACUCUUUUUUUUUUUUUAACAAAUAUUCAAUGCAUCAUUAGACAGGGGUAAAGGAGUUAUAUGUAUGAUUGUGAUUCUCUUGAGAUUCCCAUUAGAACCAAGAUACUUGCCUUAAUGCAUGUUAUUCACUAUAUCCUUCCAUCUCUUCUAUCUUCAUGUCACAUGCAUCCUGAUUUUUUCUCCCUAACUUUUGGAGAUUUCACAUUGCUCUGAUUGGUUCCUUUUUAUAUAUGUGUGUUGUCAACUUUGUUCAUGGAACCAAUGACUAUAUGCUUUUAUUAUUGUUGUUCGAUUUAUUUUGUGAUCACUUGGACAACAACAGAAGUAUCUAGCCAUGAAGCUCCAACAAGUAAAAGAUUGAAUUUGAAGGUGAUGACAACCAUGUAAGUGUUGUCCUUAUGCUUAAAAGGUGGCCGCUAUCUUAAAAAAUAUAAUUUCCUUUUUCCUUUCUAGAUGACAGCUAUACUAUUCUGGUAUGGAUUUACCUACUAUGCUAUCAUGUAUAUUACCAUUUAUCUAUUAUCUAUUGAAGUGUCCUGAAACCUCUUAUUGUGCUGUCAAAUUUGAUCGAUCAUGGAACCAAUGGCUAUAUGCUUUUAGUGCUGUCCGUCGAUUUAUGCUAUGUGAAAUUUAGUUAUUUUAUUCAUCUCUUCGUGUCAUUUUGCUGCUGAGAUGUGGGUUAUUUGGUGUCUUUUUUGUGCAGGUUGUGUGAUAGAUGUUGAAAGCAUACAAUGAAGUGGUGAAAAGCAUGGUUUGAGAGGACACGAGUUAAAUCUGAUGUUUUAAAUUUUUUUCUUUUUAUAUUUGUAAGGUUAUUUUUUGCAAUUUAUUGAGUAUUGAGCACUAGAGAGAUAUUAUGAAGAUAUUGUGAAAAAGAAUACGAGUGUACUCAUGUUAAGCAGUUAAUGUAAAAUGAGAACAUCUUGGCUGAUGUAUAUACUUAUCAUUUCCUUAUGUAUAUUCAACUAUGUCAUGGUAAUGCAUAUUAAAAUAUUUUUAA
Medicago truncatula (barrel medic) is the source of this 2871-nucleotide long non-coding RNA. RefSeq lists it as uncharacterized. The transcript has 2 exons. Lineage: Eukaryota; Viridiplantae; Streptophyta; Magnoliopsida; Fabales; Fabaceae. The record is from RefSeq and is a predicted model, not a curated record.